This is a long non-coding RNA of Mastomys coucha (southern multimammate mouse), 402 nucleotides long. RefSeq lists it as uncharacterized. The record is from RefSeq and is a predicted model, not a curated record. Lineage: Eukaryota; Metazoa; Chordata; Mammalia; Rodentia; Muridae. The transcript has 3 exons.
GCCUGAAAGGUACACUGCAAUUCAGAAGAUGGAGAAUUUUCUCCUUCUGAUGAAUAGUGUUAUUGACUUGUGGAGGAGCCCCAGCUCUAUGUCCAUAGUAAUGGACAUGAAUUUUGCCAUUAUGUGAAGAGUGGGGCUCUUCUUCCUACUAAUCCUAUUCCUGAAUGGGUCACCACCACCUGGGAGUGAAAAGAACAUCCCAAAGUGUUAGGGGAUUAAAAAGGUGGAAGAAAAGGAGUGGAGAAGAGUGGAAGUAAGAAGAACCGACAAAGUAGUAAAAGUCUAGCUACAGACAGGUGGUGAAGAGGAGGCAGAUCAACAUGAGGAAGAAAACUACUAUGGUAAAAGGUUAUAGAAACAGUCAAGAACGCACAUACGCAGAAUGCAUUAUAAUGUGUGUAA